AUGGAAGUGAUGAUCCUUUCCCCAUAUUAUCGACACUGAUUAUAAUAUGCGUUUAUAUAUCUCUUUAUGAGAUGUAUCAAGCCAGGACUCUGAUCCAA
Thalictrum thalictroides is the source of this 98-nucleotide non-coding RNA. The record is from the annotation of a GenBank genome assembly. NCBI's taxonomy places the organism in Eukaryota, Viridiplantae, Streptophyta, Magnoliopsida, Ranunculales, Ranunculaceae.